GUUAGAAUUGAUGGUAAAGCAGUCAUCCCGAGGGAAUCAGAUUGAAAGAUGAGCCGCAAAAUCUGUGAUUGGUUUCUUCAGAGUGAUGGGAGAGGGAUUGAAAGCGAAGUUGGGGAGGAAGUGAGGUUUCAGAAAGAUCCAUUGAAGGAAAAGUAAAAAAGAUGACACUUCUGUUGUUAAAUGGGUGGAAUUUGUCAUUUAGUGUUACAGAUCUUGUAAACUUGUUUCUUCGCUUUGUCUGUUGUUUAUUUUAUACUUUUCUUAUAUAGGAUAGGAUAUAAUAGGGAAGAAUAAGAUGAACAAUUUCACAUUAAACUUCAAUCUUAUAACAUUUUCCUUAUUUUCA
Gossypium raimondii (Peruvian cotton) is the source of this 346-nucleotide long non-coding RNA. RefSeq lists it as uncharacterized. Lineage: Eukaryota; Viridiplantae; Streptophyta; Magnoliopsida; Malvales; Malvaceae. The record is from RefSeq and is a predicted model, not a curated record. The transcript is spliced from 2 exons.